UACGAAGGUCCCAAGUGUUGUUCGGAAUCACUGGGCGUAAAGGGAGCGUAGGCGGCGCGGUAAGUCAGAUGUGAAAUCCCGGGGCUCAACCCCGGAACUGCAUCCGAUACUGCCGUGCUCGAGGAUUGGAGAGGUAGCUGGAAUUCUUGGUGUAGCAGUGAAAUGCGUGGAUAUCAAGAGGAACACUCGUGGCGAAAGCGAGCUACUGGACAACUCCUGACGCUGAGGCUCGAAGGCCAGGGGAGCGAAAGGG
This 253-nucleotide ribosomal RNA is filed under the name uncultured bacterium. RNAcentral describes it as "partial 16S ribosomal RNA". It matches the Rfam family "Bacterial small subunit ribosomal RNA", at positions 524 to 776 of the family's 1533-position model. The record is from RNAcentral.